This 406-nucleotide ribosomal RNA is filed under the name uncultured bacterium. Its description in RNAcentral is "partial 16S ribosomal RNA". It matches the Rfam family "Bacterial small subunit ribosomal RNA", at positions 30 to 526 of the family's 1533-position model. The record is from RNAcentral.
AUUGAACGCUGGCGGCAGGCCUAACACAUGCAAGUCGAACGAGUGGCGGACGGGUGAGUAAUGUCUGGGAAACUGCCUGAUGGAGGGGGAUCACUACUGGAAACGGUUGCUACUACCGCCUACCAUCAGCUGUGCCCAGUUGGGUUUCGCUUGUUGGUGGGGUAACGGCUCACCAAGGCGCCGAUCCCUAGCUGGUCUGAGAGGAUGACCAGCCAAACUGGAACUAAGACACGGUCCAGACUCCUACGGGAGGCAGCAGUGGGGAAUAUUGCACAAUGGGCGAAAGCCUGAUGCAGCCAUGCCGCGUGUGUGAAGAAGGCCUUCGGGUUGUAAAGUACUUUCAGCGGGGAGGCGUUACCCGCAGAAGAAGCACCGGCUAACUCCGUGCCAGCAGCCGCGGUAAUUC